UAGACCUUUGUGGGAUGUACACUUUGUGAAUAUACUAUUUUUCUCUCAUUCUGUGUGGUGUCUGUUUAUUCUGUGGAUAGUUUCUUUUGCUGCCCAGAAGCUCUUUAAUUAGGUCCCACUUGCCAAUUUUUGUUUUUGUUGCCAUUGCUUCUGAGGACUUAGUCACAAAUUCUUUUCCAAGAUCAGGGUCCAGAAUGGUGUUUCCUAGGUUUUCUUCUAGGAUUCUUAUAGUUCAAGGUCUUACUUUAAAUCUUUAAUCCAUCUUGUGUUAACUUUUGUACAUGGUGAAUGGUAGAGGUCCAGCUUUAAAAUGUGUUAGACUGGGUAACUUAUAAACAACAAAUUUAUUGUUGACAGUUCUGGAGGCUGGAAAAUUCAAGAGCAAAGCACUGGCAGAUUUUGUUUCUGGUGAAGGCCUGCUUCCCAUUUCAUAAACGCCUGUUUUCUUGCUGUAAUCUCACAUGGUGGUAGGGGUGAGGGAGCUCUCUGGAGUCUCUUUUAUUUUAUUUAUAUAUAUAUAUUUUUUUUUUGAGACAGAGUCUGGCUCUGUCACACAGGCUGGAGUGCAGUGGUAUGAUGUUGGCUCAAUGCAAUCUCUGCCUCCCGGGUUCAAGCGAUUCUCCUGCCUCAGCCUCCUGAGUAGCUGGGAUUACGGGCGUGUGCCACCAUGCGCAGCUAAUUUUUGUGUUUUUAGUAGAAACGGGGUUUUGCCAUGUUGGCCAGGCUGGUGUCGAACUCCUGACUUCAGGUGAUCUGCCUGCCUUGGCCUCCCAAAGUGCUGGGAUUACAGGCGUGAGCCACCUCGCCCGGCCUGGAGUCUCUUUUAUAAGGGCACUAAUCCCAUUCAUGAAGGCUCCACCUUCAUGACCUAAUCACCCUCCAAAGUCCCCACCUCCAAACACCAUUUCCUUGGGUGCUAGGAUUUCAACAUAUAAAUUUUAGUUGGGAGGACACAAACAUUCAGACCAUGGCACAUAUAUUACUGUAUAAUGUAUACUAUGCUAUAUAUAUGUAUAUAUGGUAUAUAUUAUAUACAGUUAUAUAUAAUUCUUAAAUUAUUUCUCAUUUAAUCUUGCUCUUUCCUUGGUGGUGGUCCUUCGUUUGUCUUGUCUGUACUUUUCGACUUGCAAGGUUCUUUGAUUCCUCUCAAGCCUCCAGCUCCGAUGUCCAUCUUUAUCUGGAAGCUCUAGUGUGCCUGUGUACUCUAGAUAAUGGUUUAUGGUUAAGAGCCGCAAACUCUGCAGACAGAAUCCCUGGGUUCUAAUCCCAUGACUUACUCACUGUGUGAUCUUGGCAAAUUAGCCUUUCUGUGCGUCAGUUUCUUAUGUUAUAAAAUGAGGAUAUUAACAGCAUCUACUUGUCUCAGAGACUGUGGCUAUCCACCAAAAUCCAUUCUCCCUGUUUUUUAUAGUAAUAGAAUAAAACUAUUCUGUUAUUUUAUGACUACUCUAUUUCAUGUGGCUGGUCUUAUGUGUCCCACUGAAGAACAUUUCCAGCCUCCCUUGCAGGUAGUGUGACCGAGACUGAGUGCCUGCAGAUGAAAUGUGACUGUAGCUGGUGUGUGUCGGACCCAUGUCUGGGGCUUAUGAUAUCAGGUGGGUCUUGUCCACUGCCACUACUAGCCUUCUCAGUGGGUGAGGCCAAGAUAGGGUGGCAGCUGAGCUUGGGCCACAGAGACAAUGAUGAUGCCCUGGGGGUGGUGGAACAAUGGCUAGGACAGACCCUGAAUGUCUCCAGGGAGCAGAGCUGCCCUGCUAAGCUGGACCAUUGUCUCUAGAAUUGCUAGAUGAGAACGAAAUAAAUAAAUAACCUUAUUUAUUUAUUUGACCACAAAUAAAUAAAUAAUAAAGAAUAAAUGACCACAUUCUUUAAGCCAUUGUAUUUUGGAGUAUCUUUGUUAGUCUACAACACUUGCCUCUGUGAGUGCAGUCCAGGCCCUGAAGGCAGAUGGAGCCAUAUCCCAGGCUCCUGGUGGAGGAAGGUGCAGAGUUCGAGGAACCUUUGCACUCUUGUGCCUUCCCUCAGGCCCAAAGCUCCUGUAGACUCAGUCUCGUGACCCCAGAGGUGAACCAGGCCUGAUGUGCUGGUGUCAGGUGGAUGG
RNAcentral lists this long non-coding RNA (2101 nucleotides) under Homo sapiens (human). RNAcentral's name for it is "non-protein coding lnc-HRASLS5-1:1". Lineage: Eukaryota; Metazoa; Chordata; Mammalia; Primates; Hominidae. The record is from RNAcentral.